Molecule: ribosomal RNA, 253 nt
Filed under: uncultured bacterium
Lineage: Bacteria
Description: partial 16S ribosomal RNA
Rfam family: Bacterial small subunit ribosomal RNA
Source: RNAcentral
UACGUAGGGUGCAAGCGUUGUCCGGAAUGAUUGGGCGUAAAGCGUCCGCAGGUGGCACUACAAGUCUGCUGUCAAAGACUGGGGCUCAACCUCAGAAAGGCGGUGGAAACUGUAGAGCUAGAGAACGGUAGGGGCAGAGGGAAUUCCCAGUGUAGCGGUGAAAUGCGUAGAGAUUGGGAAGAACACCAGUGGCGAAAGCACUCUGCUGGGCCGACACUGACACUGAGAGACGAAAGCUAGGGGAGCAAAUGGG